AUGGGUUCAGGUCUCUUCAAGCCUCGUGUUCAUCCGGACCUCCGUGAUGUUUUCUCUAAGAUGUCUUUCGGUGACAAGAUUGGCUUUCUAUUCAUUCAUGCAUUUGACAAGAGAAACUUGUGGCACAAGAUGCCUGUUCCGAUCGGUUUACUCUACCUGAACACCCGCCGGACCCUCCUCGAAAAAUACAACAUGUUAGCUGUUGGGAGUUCUCAUGGUGCUCUGUUUGACCCCAAGGAGUUCCCGUACCGCACCGGAGAUGGCAAGUACAACGACCCCCAUAAUGCUAAGGCUGGUAGCCAAUACACCUUUUUUGGGAGAAACAUGAAGCCAGUUGAUCAACAGGAUGAGUUGAUGAGCCCAGAUCCAUUUGUUGUGGCAACAAAGCUGUUAGCCAGGAGAGAAUACAAGGACACAGGGAAACAGUUCAAUAUACUAGCAGCUGCAUGGAUACAGUUCAUGGUUCAUGACUGGAUGGAUCAUAUGGAGGAUACCAAACAGAUUGAAAUCACAGCUCCAAAAUAUGUGGCCAAUGAGUGCCCCCUCAAAUCGUUCAAGUUCUAUGCCACAAAAGAACAACCUACGAAUUCUGAUGGAAUAAAGAGUGGUUACUACAAUGUCCGCACAGCUUGGUGGGAUGGGAGUGCAGUAUAUGGUAAUAAUGAGAAAGAGGCAAAAAAGAUCAGGACUUAUGUUGAUGGAAAACUAGUCAUAGGAGAUGACGGUCUUCUUUUGCAUGAGGAGAAUGGUGUGCCAUUAUCGGGCGACGUUCGCAACGGUUGGGUUGGGGUUUCGAUCUUACAAGCUCUUUUUGUUAAGGAACACAAUGCAGUUUGUGAUGCAAUAAAGGAAGAACAGCCCAUCCUAUCAGAUGAAGAAUUAUAUCGGUAUGCCAAAUUGGUCACUUCUGCUGUCAUUGCAAAGAUUCACACUAUUGAUUGGACUGUCGAGCUUCUCAAGACUAAAACCAUGAGAGCUGCAAUGCGUGCAAAUUGGUAUGGAUUAUUGGGUAAGAAAAUAAAAGAUACAUUUGGUCACAUAGGAGGAACGGCAUUAGGUGGGCUUGUGGGAUUGAAGGAGCCGAUCAACCAUGGCGUACCUUAUUCAUUGACUGAAGAGUUUACCAGUGUUUACAGAAUGCAUUCCUUAAUACCAAGCACUCUCAAGCUCAGGAUCCGACCGGGCAACCCGCUGCAAAUAAUUCCCCACCGUACCUGGAAGAUAUACCGAGACAGGGAGAGAAGUGUACCGAGGUACAAUGAGUUCAGGAGGAGACUAUUUCUGAUUCCAAUAAAAAGUUGGGAGGAUCUGACAAGUGACAAGGAUGCAAUUGAAGACAUAAGAGCAAUAUAUGGAGAUGAUGUAGAGAAAUUGGAUCUUCUUGUUGGUCUUAUGGCAGAGAAAAAAAUCAAGGGAUUUGCCAUAAGCGAAACAGCAUUCAACAUUUUCAUUUUAAUGGCAUCAAGGAGGCUCGAAGCAGAUCGAUUUAUUACAAGCAAUUUCAAUGAGAAAACAUACACCAAGAAGGGGAUGCAAUGGGUCAAAACAACUGAAGGCCUACGAGAUGUGAUCAACCGGCACUACCCUGAAAUUACUGCCAAGUGGAUGAAGUCCUCUAGUGCUUUCUCUGUGUGGGAUGCAGACUACUAG
RNAcentral lists this ribosomal RNA (1650 nucleotides) under Triticum aestivum (bread wheat). RNAcentral describes it as "partial small subunit ribosomal RNA". Lineage: Eukaryota; Viridiplantae; Streptophyta; Magnoliopsida; Poales; Poaceae. The record is from RNAcentral.